CCUACGGGGUGCAGCAGUGGGGAAUAUUGGGCAAUGGAGGCAACUCUGACCCAGCAACGCCGCGUGAAUGAUGAAGGUCUUCGGAUUGUAAAGUUCUGUGAUGGGGGAUGAACACAAUGACGGUACCCCAAUAGCAAGCCACGGCUAACUACGUGCCAGCAGCCGCGGUAAUACGUAGGUGGCAAGCGUUAUCCGGAAUGACUGGGCGUAAAGGGAGUGUAGACGGCUUGUCAAGUUAAGUGUGAAAGCCUGCGGCUUAACCGCAGAAUUGCACUUAAAACUGACUCGCUAGAGUGCAGGAGAGGUGAGUGGAAUUCCUAGUGUAGCGGUGGAAUGCGUAGAUAUUAGGAGGAACACCAGAGGCGAAGGCGGCUCACUGGACUGUAACUGACGUUGAGGCUCGAAAGCGUGGGUAGCAAACAGGAUUAGAUACCCUGGUAGUC
Molecule: ribosomal RNA, 443 nt
Filed under: uncultured bacterium
Lineage: Bacteria
Description: partial 16S ribosomal RNA
Rfam family: Bacterial small subunit ribosomal RNA
Source: RNAcentral